GACGAACGCUGGCGGCGUGCCUAAUACAUGCAAGUAGAACGCUGAAGAGAGGAGCUUGCUCUUCUUGGCUGAGUUGCGAACGGGUGAGUAACGCGUAGGUAACCUGCCUGGUAGCGGGGGAUAACUAUUGGAAACGAUAGCUAAUACCGCAUAACAACAGUUGUUGCAUGACAGCUGUUUAAAAGAUGCAAUUGCAUCACUACCAGAUGGACCUGCGUUGUAUUAGCUAGUUGGUGAGGUAACGGCUCACCAAGGCGACGAUACAUAGCCGACCUGAGAGGGUGAUCGGCCACACUGGGACUGAGACACGGCCCAGACUCCUACGGGAGGCAGCAGUAGGGAAUCUUCGGCAAUGGGGGGAACCCUGACCGAGCAACGCCGCGUGAGUGAAGAAGGUUUUCGGAUCGUAAAGCUCUGUUGUAAGAGAAGAACGGGUGUGAGAGUGGAAAGUUCACACUGUGACGGUAUCUUACCAGAAAGGGACGGCUAACUACGUG
RNAcentral lists this ribosomal RNA (497 nucleotides) under uncultured bacterium. RNAcentral's name for it is "partial 16S ribosomal RNA". It matches the Rfam family "Bacterial small subunit ribosomal RNA", at positions 28 to 507 of the family's 1533-position model. The record is from RNAcentral.